RNAcentral lists this ribosomal RNA (479 nucleotides) under uncultured bacterium. Its description in RNAcentral is "bacterial SSU rRNA". It matches the Rfam family "Bacterial small subunit ribosomal RNA", at positions 103 to 650 of the family's 1533-position model. The record is from RNAcentral.
CGGGUGAGUAACGCGUGGGCAACCUGCCCUCCAGUUGGGGACAACAUUCCGAAAGGGAUGCUAAUACCGAAUGCGGAAGAUGGGCCCGCGUCUGAUUAGCUAGUUGGUGGGGUAACGGCUCACCAAGGCGAUGAUCAGUAGCCGGUCUGAGAGGAUGAACGGCCACAUUGGGACUGAGACACGGCCUAAACUCCUACGGGAGGCAGCAGUGGGGAAUCUUCCGCAAUGGACGAAAGUCUGACGGAGCAACGCCGCGUGAGUGAUGAAGGUCUUCGGAUUGUAAAACUCUGUUGUUAGGGACGCGGUACCUAACGAGGAAGCCACGGCUAACUACGUGCCAGCAGCCGCGGUAAUACGUAGGUGGCAAGCGUUGUCCGGAAUUAUUGGGCGUAAAGAGCAUGUAGGCGGGCUUUUAAGUCUGACGUGAAAAUGCGGGGCUUAACCCCGUAUGGCGUUGGAUACUGGAAGUCUUGAGUGCA